CUGGCGGCGUGCUUAACACAUGCAAGUCGAACGAGAGGAGAAGGAAGCUUGCUUCUUUCGAAUCUAGUGGCAAACGGGUGAGUAACACGUAAACAACCUGCCUUCAGGAUGGGGACAACAGACGGAAACGACUGCUAAUACCGAAUACGUUCCUUAGGUCGCAUGACUUUAGGAAGAAAGGGUGGCCUCUACUUGUAAGCUAUCGCCUGAAGAGGGGUUUGCGUCUGAUUAGGUAGUUGGUGAGGUAACGGCCCACCAAGCCGACGAUCAGUAGCCGGUCUGAGAGGAUGAACGGCCACACUGGAACUGAGACACGGUCCAGACUCCUACGGGAGGCAGCAGUGGGGAAUCUUCCGCAAUGGGCGAAAGCCUGACGGAGCAACGCCGCGUGAGUGAAGAAGGUCUUCGGAUCGUAAAGCUCUGUUGUCGGGGACGAAUGUUGAGACCUAGAACAUAGGUUUCAAAUGACGGUACCUGACGAGGAAGCCACGGCUAACUACGUG
This 503-nucleotide ribosomal RNA is filed under the name uncultured bacterium. RNAcentral's name for it is "bacterial SSU rRNA". It matches the Rfam family "Bacterial small subunit ribosomal RNA", at positions 36 to 507 of the family's 1533-position model. The record is from RNAcentral.